CGAAAAUGAAAAAUGCAUCAAAAUAAUAAGAGCAGUGAAUGAGCGGAGACCGGGACAUGGCCGCCCCUGGAAAGUGCUUGCUGGUCACUGGCCCUCCUGGUGUGGGUAAAACCACUCUAAUUAUGCGAGUUCUUGAGAGCCUCAAAACCUCUAACCCAAACUUGAAGAUUCAGGGUUUCUACACUCGUGAGAUUAGGGAAGAAAGUGAAAGGGUUGGCUUCGAAGUUGUCACUUUGGACGGUCGAAAAGCUCCGCUCGCCUCAACCACCGUUUCUACCCCAGAGUCUUUCAGAUGGCCUACUGUUGGGAAAUAUAAAGUUGACUUAGCAUCAUUUGAGUCAUUGGCAUUACCUGAGUUGCAGGUCAAAGAAGAUGCUGAUCUCUUCAUCAUUGAUGAAGUUGGAAAAAUGGAGUUGUAUAGUUCAUCAUUCUUCCCUGCUGUUCUAAAAGUUCUAGAGUCAAAUGUCCCAGUUUUGGCUUCUAUCCCGAUUCCAAAAUUUGGGCGUGAUAUACCUGGAGUUGCAAGGUUGAGGAACCAUCCAGGGGCUACCAUUUUCACCUUAAGCCCAAAUAACAGGGAUGCUGUUAAAGAACUGAUCUAUAAGCAGUUGGUAGAUUCACUGCAGAAGCAUUAGAUGCUGCAUCCAUUGUGAAACUUGAAAGUCUAGUUGGAAGGGCUUGUGGAACAAAUAUCUUCAAGGUGUUCUUCUGAUGGGAUAACUUUUCUUGUUUACUUUGAUCUUGUCAUCUCAUGUUGUUACAACCUUGCUGAAGUGGAUGAAGAGUUCAAAUUAUAUUAUUUUUCAAGUGUUUUGGCAUAACUAUUCACAAAAAGAGACCAUAAAUCUCUCCCUCUGUCUCUCUUUCUAUGUAUACAUGCUUGCUAUAAUGUAGUUUCACUGGGUAAUUCUGGCUUGAGUGAGUGAUUCCUUCAACUGAACAUUCAAUGAAUGAGGAUGGAAGCAGGAUGAUAUAUGGCAAAGAUAAUUGGAAGGUAAAUUGAAGGAAGAUGCAAAUUUAGCUUGUCUAUAUAUGCUUUACCAUGAUAUUAUUUUAGAAAUUUCCUUUCGCUUUCCUAAUAUGCUAUUGUGCCCCAAAACAUUUGUGUGAUAAUGGUUACCCUUGAAUUGAAUUUUAGAGAGGUUUAAUAUUAUUGCAAGUCCUAUGAAAGCUUUUAACGGAAGCUGUAGAUAGGG
RNAcentral lists this unclassified non-coding RNA (1196 nucleotides) under Hevea brasiliensis (rubber tree). The record is from RNAcentral. Lineage: Eukaryota; Viridiplantae; Streptophyta; Magnoliopsida; Malpighiales; Euphorbiaceae.